AGAAGUUAAGGGAGAAAAACCUUGCCUCAUAUGCGAUUCCGCCUAACACAUUGAACUCUGGGGGAAGAGGACUUUUCUUAAAUCCCGUAUCAGUUGGAUUUUAAAAAAAGGGGAGUCCAAGACUAUUCAGUUCAGUUAUCCACCCUUAAACGCGGAAGGCGUCAUAGGAUUUGAGCCCUUUAGGACUGGAAAUUGGAUAUGGAAUCACACCAAUAUCCUUGGCGGCCACAUCGUGCGAGAUUACCAGAACCUCUUUACUACUUACCAUCAUUCCUCAUAUUAUUUGAUUUAGAUCCUUAUCUUAGUGGCAAGAUGACUUCUCAACAGGAUAUGAACGCGCUUUCUCAACCUAUCUCAGAGGAUUCCAUUUUUCCGUUCCGUAAGGUCUUUUUUUUAAUUGAAGGCUCCAGGACCAGAUAGGAAAGCAUUGAGCUAGGAUGACUUCACUACCUUAGUCUAUUCACCCUCGGAUCAAUUCACUGNN
RNAcentral lists this long non-coding RNA (484 nucleotides) under Phaseolus vulgaris (common bean). RNAcentral's name for it is "long non-coding RNA (PVUL_LNC005181)". Lineage: Eukaryota; Viridiplantae; Streptophyta; Magnoliopsida; Fabales; Fabaceae. The record is from RNAcentral.